RNAcentral lists this long non-coding RNA (208 nucleotides) under Elaeis guineensis (African oil palm). RNAcentral's name for it is "long non-coding RNA (EGUI_LNC076631)". Lineage: Eukaryota; Viridiplantae; Streptophyta; Magnoliopsida; Arecales; Arecaceae. The record is from RNAcentral.
GAGGUUUCGAAGGCGAGUAACCUCCAUGGUGGCUUUUGAAUGGCUCUUCCUCAGCCUGUGAAGUUCAUCGUCCAUCUUUUUUGAUUUCUUUGUUAGGUGACAAACUUUUCUUCUUAGAUCUCAGACCAUGGACUUCAGAGGAAUCCCCUGUGGUAGGGGAAGAGCUUUGGCAGGGCACUAUUGUCGGGAAACAAGAGCGUCACAAUGC